RNAcentral lists this ribosomal RNA (253 nucleotides) under uncultured bacterium. RNAcentral's name for it is "partial 16S ribosomal RNA". It matches the Rfam family "Bacterial small subunit ribosomal RNA", at positions 524 to 776 of the family's 1533-position model. The record is from RNAcentral.
GACGCACCGAGCGAACGUUGUUCGGAAUCACUGGGCUUAAAGGGCGCGUAGGCGGACUGUCAAGUCUGGGGUGAAAGCCCGCGGCUCAACCGUGGAACUGCCUCAGAUACUGACGGCCUCGAGGGAGGUAGGGGCGAGCGGAACGGGUGGUGGAGCGGUGAAAUGCGUUGAUAUCACGCGGAACUCCGGUGGCGAAGGCGGCUCGCUGGCCCUUUUCUGACGCUGAGGCGCGAAAGCUAGGGGAGCAAACGGG